Molecule: ribosomal RNA, 263 nt
Filed under: uncultured bacterium
Lineage: Bacteria
Description: partial 16S ribosomal RNA
Rfam family: Bacterial small subunit ribosomal RNA
Source: RNAcentral
GUCCACGCCCUAAACUAUGUCAACUAGUUGUCGGGAAAGCAAUUUCUUGGUAACGAAGCUAACGCGUGAAGUUGACCGCCUGGGGAGUACGGUCGCAAGAUUAAAACUCAAAGGAAUUGACGGGGCCCGCACAAGCGGUGGAUGAUGUGGAUUAAUUCGAUGCAACGCGAAAACCUUACCUACCCUUGACAUGCCCCGGGAGCCAGACGAGAGUUUGGUGUGCUCGAAAGAGAGCCGGGACACAGGUGCUGCAUGGCUGUCGU